Molecule: ribosomal RNA, 441 nt
Filed under: uncultured bacterium
Lineage: Bacteria
Description: partial 16S ribosomal RNA
Rfam family: Bacterial small subunit ribosomal RNA
Source: RNAcentral
CUACGGGCGGCAGCAGCCGAGAAUCUUCCUCAAUGGCCGAAAGGCUGAAGGAGCGACGUCGCGUGUAUGAAGAAGCAUUUCGGUGUGUAAAGUACUUUUAUUAGGGACGAAUCAAUGACGGUACCUAAUGAAUAAGGGGCUGCUAACCUCGUGCCAGCAGCAGCGGUAAUACGAGGGCCCCGAGCGUUAUCCGGAUUUAUUGGGCGUAAAGGGUCCGUAGGCCGUUUAUCGCAUCUCCUGUUAAAUCCCGAGGCUCAACCUCGGAACCGCAGGAGAGAUGGAUAAACUAGAGACCGGAAGAGGUAAGCGGAAUUGCUGGUGUAGGGGUUAAAUCCGUUAAUAUCAGCAGGAACACCAAAUGCGUAGGCAGCUUACUAGGACGGUUCUGACGCUAAAGGACGAAAGCGUGGGGAGCGAAUGGGAUUAGAUACCCGUGUAGUC